UGGGGAAUCUUGCACAAUGGGCGAAAGCCUGAUGCAGCAACGCCGCGUGCGGGAAGACAGCCCUAGGGUUGUAAACCGCUUUCAGCAGGGAAGAAACUGACGGUACCUGCAGAAGAAGAUGCGGCCAACUACGUGCCAGCAGCCGCGGUGACACGUAGGCAUCAAGCGUUAUCCGGAUUUAUUGGGCGUAAAGAGCUCGUAGGCGGUUCGGUAAGUCGGGUGUGAAAACUCUGGGCUCAACCCAGAGAGGCCACUCGAUACUGCUGUGACUAGAGUGCGGUAGGGGAGCGGGGAAUUCCUGGUGUAGCGGUGAAAUGCGCAGAUAUCAGGAGGAACACCAGUGGCGAAGGCGCCGCUCUGGGCCGUAACUGACGCUGAGGAGCGAAAGCAUGGGUAGCAAACAGGAUUAGAUACCCUGGUAGUCCAUGCCGUAAACGAUGAGUGCUAGUCGUCGGCAGGCAUGCCUGUCGGUGACGCAGCUAACGCAUUAAGCACUCCGCCUGGGAGUACGGUCGC
This 516-nucleotide ribosomal RNA is filed under the name uncultured bacterium. Its description in RNAcentral is "bacterial SSU rRNA". It matches the Rfam family "Bacterial small subunit ribosomal RNA", at positions 355 to 889 of the family's 1533-position model. The record is from RNAcentral.